GGUCGUCUCGCGCCCAGGAGGACCGGUUUCGAUUCCCAUCCAGACCGUAUUAUGCGUAUAUUUUCAUAUACAAAACAGAACAAUGAAGCUUUCUAGCUGCGCUGCUUUGCUGAUUGUUGCCUUGUCGGAAGUUGCUUCCGAAACAAAGAUACACCAAGGCAAUUAGCAAUUAUUUCGCCUACAAAAGCGAGCGGUCCAGAUGAUGUUCCGG
Molecule: long non-coding RNA, 211 nt
Organism: Dermacentor silvarum
Lineage: Eukaryota; Metazoa; Arthropoda; Arachnida; Ixodida; Ixodidae
Exons: 3
Source: RefSeq, a predicted model, not a curated record